CCUACGGGAGGCAGCAGUGAGGAAUCUUGGUCAAUGGGCGCGAGCCUGAACCAGCCAAGCAGCGUGAAGGAUGACUGCUCUACGGUCUGUAAACUUCUUUUAUAAAGGAAUAAAGUGAGGAACGUGUGAAUUUUUGUCUGUGCUUUAUGAAUAAGGAUCGGCUAACUCCGGGUCAGGAGCCGCGGUAAUACGGAGGAUCCGGGCGUUAUCCGGAUUUCUUGGGUUUAAAGGGAGGGUAGCUGGGUGGUUAAGUCAGUUGUGAAAGUUUGCGGCUUAAACGAAAAAUUGCAAUUGAUACUGGCAGUCUUGAGUACAGUAGAGGGAGGCGGAAUUCCAUGUGUAGCGGUGAAAUGCUUAGAUAUCACGAAGAACUCCGAUUGCGAAGGCAGCUUACUAGACUGCCACUGACGUUGAUGCUCGAAAGUGUGGGUAUCAAACAGGAUUAGAUACCCCAGUAGUC
RNAcentral lists this ribosomal RNA (460 nucleotides) under uncultured bacterium. Its description in RNAcentral is "partial 16S ribosomal RNA". It matches the Rfam family "Bacterial small subunit ribosomal RNA", at positions 338 to 795 of the family's 1533-position model. The record is from RNAcentral.